RNAcentral lists this transfer RNA (72 nucleotides) under Pangasianodon hypophthalmus (striped catfish). It matches the Rfam family "tRNA". From Rfam's summary of the family: Transfer RNA (tRNA) molecules are approximately 80 nucleotides in length. Their secondary structure includes four short double-helical elements and three loops (D, anti-codon, and T loops). Lineage: Eukaryota; Metazoa; Chordata; Actinopteri; Siluriformes; Pangasiidae. The record is from Rfam by way of RNAcentral.
UCCCUGGAGGACUAGUGGUUAGGCCACAGCACUCUCACUGCUGCGGUCCGGGUUUGAUUCCCAACCAGGGAA